The sequence is a small nuclear RNA, 116 nucleotides long. Its record names the gene U5. It matches the Rfam family "U5 spliceosomal RNA". Rfam says of the family: U5 RNA is a component of both types of known spliceosome. The precise function of this molecule is unknown, though it is known that the 5' loop is required for splice site selection and p220 binding, and that both the 3' stem-loop and the Sm site are important for Sm protein binding and cap methylation. The record is from Ensembl.
AUACUCUUGUUUCUCUUCAGAUCGCAUAAAUCUUUCGCCUUUUACUAAAGAUUUCCGUGGAGAGAAACACUUUUGAGUGACCUACCAAUUUUUUGAGGUCUUGCUUUGGCAAGGCU